GCCGCGAGGUGGAGCGAAUCUCCAAAAAUUAGUCCCAGUUCAGAUUGCAGGCUGCAACUCGCCUGCAUGAAGUCGGAAUUGCUAGUAAUCGUGGAUCAGCAUGCCACGGUGAAUACGUUCCCGGGCCUUGUACACACCGCCCGUCACACCAUGGGAGUCGGUAACACCCGAAGCCUGUAGUCUAACCGCAAGGAGGACGCAGUCGAAGGUGGGAUUGAUGACUGGGGUGAAGUCGUAACAAGGUACC
This 247-nucleotide ribosomal RNA is filed under the name uncultured bacterium. Its description in RNAcentral is "partial 16S ribosomal RNA". It matches the Rfam family "Bacterial small subunit ribosomal RNA", at positions 1254 to 1500 of the family's 1533-position model. The record is from RNAcentral.